Molecule: transfer RNA, 71 nt
Filed under: Insectozyma chauliodis
Lineage: Eukaryota; Fungi; Ascomycota; Pichiomycetes; Serinales; Debaryomycetaceae
Also listed under: 1 other name
Description: Candida chauliodis tRNA-Ile
Rfam family: tRNA
About the family: Transfer RNA (tRNA) molecules are approximately 80 nucleotides in length. Their secondary structure includes four short double-helical elements and three loops (D, anti-codon, and T loops). Further hydrogen bonds mediate the characteristic L-shaped molecular structure. tRNAs have two regions of fundamental functional importance: the anti-codon, which is responsible for specific mRNA codon recognition, and the 3' end, to which the tRNAs corresponding amino acid is attached (by aminoacyl-tRNA synthetases). tRNAs cope with the degeneracy of the genetic code in two manners: having more than one tRNA (with a specific anti-codon) for a particular amino acid; and 'wobble' base-pairing, i.e. permitting non-standard base-pairing at the 3rd anti-codon position.
Source: RNAcentral
UAGCCUAUACCUUAAUGGUAAAGGGUCCGAUCGAUAAUCGGUUGAUGUAAGUUCGAUUCUUACUAGGCUAA